UUUUGCCUUGUGAGAUUGGUAUAAGACCAUUGAUGGCAUCCGGUAUCAUUGUUUUGUUUUAGGAGGUUGGUGUAAACCCAUUUAUUGGUAUCCGACAUCCGCUUUUGUUUGUGAGAUUGGUAUAAGACCAUUGAUGGCAUCCGGUAUCACCUUGCUUUAUUUUUACUCGCUUUGUUGCCUCAUUCCUAAGGACACACUUGAAUCAUCUCCUAUAUGAUUUCAAGAGGUGAACCUUUC
RNAcentral lists this long non-coding RNA (237 nucleotides) under Lathyrus oleraceus (garden pea). Its description in RNAcentral is "Pisum sativum (pea) long non-coding RNA (PSAT_LNC013750)". Lineage: Eukaryota; Viridiplantae; Streptophyta; Magnoliopsida; Fabales; Fabaceae. The record is from RNAcentral.